This is a non-coding RNA of Strigamia maritima, 247 nucleotides long. Lineage: Eukaryota; Metazoa; Arthropoda; Chilopoda; Geophilomorpha; Linotaeniidae. The record is from Rfam.
GAGUACUUCCAAGACUUGCGACUGAAGCUACAUACGGAGUUUUCAUAACUCAAACUUGCUUUAGGGAAAGUCCCUGGACCCCUACUAGAAAGUAGUGGGUGGCAAUCACCUUAUCCUAUCCCACCAUCCUGUCAAAUGGCUAGGAUCCAUCAGGGGAGCCAAGGAUGAGAUAGGUGUUAGUCAUAGAAUAUAGAAAUGCAAGUUGUCUGUAUAGACUAACUCAAUAGGGCUUACUCUGGAAGUUUCU